RNAcentral lists this ribosomal RNA (276 nucleotides) under Triticum aestivum (bread wheat). Its description in RNAcentral is "partial small subunit ribosomal RNA". Lineage: Eukaryota; Viridiplantae; Streptophyta; Magnoliopsida; Poales; Poaceae. The record is from RNAcentral.
AUGCUCAGUAAAUGGCUAUGCAGGCUAUCUGUAGAGGGGAAAGGUGUGUGGAUACAGUUAUUGCGUAACAAAUAUUUGCAAUCCAAGACCCUCGCACAAGCGAUCAUGGUACCGAAUGAUUCCCUCUUUUUGAAGGGGUUGACGAGGUCAAAGGUUGCCUUCUUCAAUAGGACCAAAUUCAUUGUAGGGAACGGUAAUACUAGUAGAUUUUGGGAAGAUACAUGGCUAGAGGACACCAGAAGGAAAUUCAUGGCACCUGAAGACAUCAAAGAUUAA